UGGGGAAUUUUGCGCAAUGGGGGGAACCCUGACGCAGCAACGCCGCGUGCGGGACGACGGCCUUCGGGUUGUAAACCGCUUUCAGCAGGGAAGAUUCAGACGGUACCUGCAGAAGAAGCUCCGGCUAACUACGUGCCAGCAGCCGCGGUAAUACGUAGGGGGCGAGCGUUAUCCGGAUUCAUUGGGCGUAAAGCGCGCGUAGGCGGCCGCCUAAGCGGAACCUCUAAUCCCGGGGCUCAACCUCGGGCCGGGUUCCGGACUGGGCGGCUCGAGUGCGGUAGAGGCAGGCGGAAUUCCCGGUGUAGCGGUGGAAUGCGCAGAUAUCGGGAAGAACACCGAUGGCGAAGGCAGCCUGCUGGGCCGCCACUGACGCUGAGGCGCGAAAGCUGGGGGAGCGAACAGGA
Molecule: ribosomal RNA, 404 nt
Filed under: uncultured bacterium
Lineage: Bacteria
Description: bacterial SSU rRNA
Rfam family: Bacterial small subunit ribosomal RNA
Source: RNAcentral